GGACAUAGUGGUACACAUGAGAGACACUGGAUCUCAUCCCAUGGAUCCAUGAAGUCCUUCCGCUUUUGGUAGCUUAGACAAUUAGGGCUCAUUUUAUGUUUUUUUUUUUUUUGAUAAAAUAGAAGAUUGAGUAUUUUUAUCUUCAAGAGUAUGAUAACUUCAAUUCCACCUUAUGAUAGGAUAAGAAUCACAUAAAAAUAGCUUAAAUGAUAAAAAUAAUCAAGGACAUUCGAAUAUCCCAAAGUUCAAAUUCAACAAAAGUAAAUAAAGAAUUAGCCUUAUUAUAUAUUUUAUCUAUAAAGGUUAAUACUUUAAAAUAAUGCCCCUAACGAUAUUGCUACUAUUAUAAUUUUUUUUUAAGCUACAAGAAGUAUCUAAAUACAAUCAAUUAUGCAACCCACACGCAGGCGGUACCUGAUCAAUACCACCCAAUAGUGGGAAAACAUCACCACACGUAGGCGAGACGGGCGAAAAAAUAAAAUAAAAAAUAAAAAACACAUUUAAAUCUAACGAGAAGGAGAUUACCUUUUCUUUUAUUCUUCUUCUUAUCUUUCCUUUUUCUCAACUUCGCCUGCGUGUGUGAUAUGAACGGUAGAGUUUGAUAUCUUUCAAAGCCAAGACAAAGUUGACAAUGAUUUUAAUCAAACACUAAAAUUUACCAUACAAAGCCAAAAUUUCGUAUAAAUCAUGCGAGCUAGUUUUCAUAUUGUUAAAAUCUAAUUAAAGAGAAGCAAAAGUACCUUUUUUGUGAAUUUUCUUCUUACGUUUGCUCGUAUCGAUUGACUUUCGGAUCUCUCUCCUUAACUUCGCUCGUCUCGCCAGCUAAGUGUGUGAUUUUAGAGUUUGAUAUUUUGGAUAAACCCAAAGCAGAGUCAGAAGGGAUUAUAAACUACAAAUUCAUAAAGCUACAACUACAC
This 917-nucleotide long non-coding RNA is filed under the name Salvia miltiorrhiza (redroot sage). Its description in RNAcentral is "long non-coding RNA (SMIL_LNC004764)". Lineage: Eukaryota; Viridiplantae; Streptophyta; Magnoliopsida; Lamiales; Lamiaceae. The record is from RNAcentral.